This 501-nucleotide ribosomal RNA is filed under the name uncultured bacterium. RNAcentral describes it as "partial 16S ribosomal RNA". It matches the Rfam family "Bacterial small subunit ribosomal RNA", at positions 29 to 523 of the family's 1533-position model. The record is from RNAcentral.
AUUGAACGCUGGCGGCAUGCCUUACACAUGCAAGUCGAACGGCAGCACGGGUGCUUGCACCUGGUGGCGAGUGGCGAACGGGUGAGUAAUACAUCGGAACGUACCUUAUCGUGGGGGAUAACGCAGCGAAAGCUGUGCUAAUACCGCAUACGCCCUGAGGGGGAAAGCGGGGGAUCGCAAGACCUCGCGCGAUUAGAGCGGCCGAUGCCUGAUUAGCUAGUUGGUGGGGUAAAAGCCCACCAAGGCGACGAUCAGUAGCUGGUCUGAGAGGACGAUCAGCCACACUGGGACUGGGACACGCCCCAGACUCCUACGGGAGGCAGCGGUGGGGAAUUUUGGACAAUGGGGGCAACCCUGAUCCAGCAAUGCCGCGUGAGUGAAGACGGCCUUCGGGUUGUAAAGCUCUUUUGUCAGGGAAGAAACACCGGCUCUAACACAGUCCGGGAAUGACGGUACCUGAAGAAUAAGCACCGGCUAACUACGUGCCAGCAGCCGCCGUAA